Molecule: ribosomal RNA, 405 nt
Filed under: uncultured bacterium
Lineage: Bacteria
Description: bacterial SSU rRNA
Rfam family: Bacterial small subunit ribosomal RNA
Source: RNAcentral
GGAGGAAUAUUGUGCAAUGGGGGGAACCCUGACACAGCGACGCCGCGUGAGUGAAGAAGGCCUUCGGGUCGUAAAGCUCUUUUCCAGGGGAUGAGGAAGGACAGUACCCUGGGAAUAAGUCUCGGCUAACUACGUGCCAGCAGCCGCGGUAAAACGUAGGAGGCGAGCGUUAUCCGGAAUCACUGGGCGUAAAGGGCAAGUAGGCGGCUCCUUAAGUCAGACGUGACAGUGCUCGGCUCAACUGGGCAAGGUCGUCUGGAACUGGGGGGCUAGAGGGCAGGAGAGGGAAGCGGAAUUCCUAGUGUAGCGGUGGAAUGCUCAGAUAUUAGGAAGAACACCAGUGGCGAAGGCGGCUUUCUGGCCUGCACCUGACGCUGAAGAGCGAAAGCUAGGGGAGCGAACGGG